RNAcentral lists this transfer RNA (71 nucleotides) under Culex quinquefasciatus (southern house mosquito). RNAcentral describes it as "tRNA-Val". The record is from RNAcentral. Lineage: Eukaryota; Metazoa; Arthropoda; Insecta; Diptera; Culicidae.
GCCUCGGUGGAGACGCUGGUAAACAGGUUGGACUCACAAUCCAAAGGUUGUCAGUUCGAAUCCCUGGGGUG